GAUCGAUGGCUCAGGAUGAACGCUGGCGGCGUGCCUAACACAUGCAAGUCGAGCGAAGGAUGAGGAGCUUGCUCUUCAUACUAGCGGCGGACGGGUGAGUAACGCGUGGGUAACCUGCCCUGUACAGGGGAAUAACAGUUAGAAAUGACUGCUAAUGCCCCAUAAGCCGACGAGAUGGCAUCUUUUUGUCGGAAAAGAUUUAUCGGUACAGGAGGGACCCGCGUCUGAUUAGCUAGUUGGUGAGGUAACGGCCCACCAAGGCGACGAUCAGUAGCCGACCUGAGAGGGUGAUCGGCCACAUUGGAACUGAGACACGGUCCAAACUCCUACGGGAGGCAGCAGUGGGGAAUAUUGCACAAUGGGGGAAACCCUGAUGCAGCAACGCCGCGUGAAGGAAGAAGUAUUUCGGUAUGUAAACUUCUAUCGACAGGGAAGAAACAAAUGACGGUACCUGAAUAAGAAGCACCGGCUAAAUACGUGCCAGCCGCCGC
This 491-nucleotide ribosomal RNA is filed under the name uncultured bacterium. RNAcentral's name for it is "bacterial SSU rRNA". It matches the Rfam family "Bacterial small subunit ribosomal RNA", at positions 15 to 518 of the family's 1533-position model. The record is from RNAcentral.